UUCACAAAUCAAACUUGUGCCCAUUUGAAUAAGGAGACACCAAGGGAAGCGAGUUCAACAAAUCAAACUUCCUAUUAUCGUCCAAUUCCAAAUCCAAAUCCAAAUCCUUCCAAUAAUUCAUCGGAAACCUAAACAUCUGCUUAGUCGAAUCCUCGUCAACAAUGAACUCCCUCUCAUGAGCACUCACGGCGAGAAGUGGGUCCCACUUCACCAACUCAAGCAC
RNAcentral lists this long non-coding RNA (223 nucleotides) under Phaseolus vulgaris (common bean). Its description in RNAcentral is "long non-coding RNA (PVUL_LNC002286)". The record is from RNAcentral. Lineage: Eukaryota; Viridiplantae; Streptophyta; Magnoliopsida; Fabales; Fabaceae.